AUACAGAUGACGAGUCCUAAACAGGACGAAACGCGCAUUUUAUAU
RNAcentral lists this non-coding RNA (45 nucleotides) under Schistosoma mattheei. Lineage: Eukaryota; Metazoa; Platyhelminthes; Trematoda; Strigeidida; Schistosomatidae. The record is from RNAcentral.